UGGGGAAUAUUGGACAAUGGGCGCAAGCCUGAUCCAGCCAUGCCGCGUGAGUGAUGAAGGCCCUAGGGUUGUAAAGCUCUUUCACCGGUGAAGAUAAUGACGGUAAUCGGAGAAGAAGCCCCGGCUAACUUCGUGCCAGCAGCCGCGGUAAUACGAAGGGGGCUAGCGUUGUUCGGAUCUACUGGGCGUAAAGCGCACGUAGGCGGACUUUAAAGUCAGGGGUGAAAUCCCGGGGCUCAACCCCGGAACUGCCUUUGAUACUGGAAGUCUUGAGUAUGGUAGAGGUGAGUGGAAUUCCGAGUGUAGAGGUGAAAUUCGUAGAUAUUCGGAGGAACACCAGUGGCGAAGGCGGCUCACUGGACCAUUACUGACGCUGAGGUGCGAAAGCGUGGGGAGCAAACAGG
This 404-nucleotide ribosomal RNA is filed under the name Actinomycetes bacterium. Its description in RNAcentral is "Actinobacteria bacterium partial 16S ribosomal RNA". It matches the Rfam family "Bacterial small subunit ribosomal RNA", at positions 355 to 776 of the family's 1533-position model. The record is from RNAcentral. Lineage: Bacteria; Bacillati; Actinomycetota; Actinomycetes.